CCUACGGGAGGCAGCAGUGGGGAAUAUUGCUCAAUGGGGGAAACCCUGAAGCAGCAACGCCGCGUGGAGGAUGAAGGUUUUCGGAAUGUAAACUCCUUUUGUUAGAGAAGAAAAUGCCGGUAUGUAACGAAUAAGCAGCGGCUAACUACGUGAAAGAAGCCGCGGUAAUACGGAGGGUGCCGGCGUUACUCGGAAUUACUGAGCGUAAAGUGCGCGUAGACGGGAUAGCAAGUCUGAUGUGAAAGCCUAGGGCUUAACCAGAGAACUGCAUUUGAAACUGUUAUUCUAGAGUACGGGAGAGGUAAGUGGAAUUCUUGGUGUAGGGGUAAAAUGCGUAGAUAUCAGGAGGAAUACUCGUGGCGAAGGCGGCCUACUAGAACAUAACUGACGUUGAUGCGCGAAAGCGUGGGGAGCAAACAGGAUUAGAUACCCUUGUAGUC
This 440-nucleotide ribosomal RNA is filed under the name uncultured bacterium. RNAcentral describes it as "partial 16S ribosomal RNA". It matches the Rfam family "Bacterial small subunit ribosomal RNA", at positions 338 to 795 of the family's 1533-position model. The record is from RNAcentral.